AUUGAACGCUGGCGGCAGGCUUAACACAUGCAAGUCGAACGAGUGGCGGACGGGAGAGUAAUGCUUGGGAAUCUGGCUUAUGGAGGGGGAUAACGACGGGAAACUGUCGCUAAUACCGCGUAGCAUAGCAUUAGCCCAAGUGGGAUUAGGUAGUUGGUGGGGUACAGGCCUACCAAGCUGCCGAGCUCUAGUUGGUCGGAGAGGAUGACCAGCCACACCUGGACUGAGAGACGGCCCGGACUCCUACGGAAGGCAGCAGUGGGGAAUAUUGCGCAAUGGGGGCAACCCUGACGCAGCCAAGCCGCGUGAGUGAGGAAGGCCUUCGGGUUGUAAAGUUCUUUUGGUAUUGAGGCGUUAAGUACAGAAGAAGCACCGGCUAACUACGUGCCAGCAGCCGCGGUAAUUC
RNAcentral lists this ribosomal RNA (406 nucleotides) under uncultured bacterium. RNAcentral describes it as "partial 16S ribosomal RNA". It matches the Rfam family "Bacterial small subunit ribosomal RNA", at positions 30 to 526 of the family's 1533-position model. The record is from RNAcentral.